RNAcentral lists this ribosomal RNA (253 nucleotides) under uncultured bacterium. RNAcentral describes it as "partial 16S ribosomal RNA". It matches the Rfam family "Bacterial small subunit ribosomal RNA", at positions 524 to 776 of the family's 1533-position model. The record is from RNAcentral.
GACGAACCGUGCGAACGUUGUUCGGAAUCACUGGGCUUAAAGGGUGCGUAGGCGGGCCGCCGCGUCCCGGGGGGAAUCCCACGGCCCCACCCUGGGACGGCCCCGGGUACGGGCGGUCUGGAGGGGAGUAGGGGCAGGCGGAACUGUGCGUGGAGCGGUGAAAUGCGUUGAUAUGCACAGGAACUCCGGUGGCGAAGGCGGCCUGCUGGGCUCUUUCUGACGCUGAGGCACGAAAGCCAGGGGAGCGAACGGG